This 385-nucleotide ribosomal RNA is filed under the name Katablepharidaceae sp. RNAcentral describes it as "partial small subunit ribosomal RNA". It matches the Rfam family "Eukaryotic small subunit ribosomal RNA", at positions 582 to 975 of the family's 1831-position model. The record is from RNAcentral. Lineage: Eukaryota; Cryptophyceae; Kathablepharidacea; Katablepharidaceae.
AUUCCAGCUCUAAUAGCGUAUAUUAAUGUUGUUGCAGUUAAAAAGCUCGUAGUUGGAUUUUGGAGUUUGACAAGUGGUCUGCCUAAGGUGUGUACUGCUUGUCGGCUCUUCUUUUCUGGGGACCACGCUGCUCUUUAUUGAGGGGUGCUGGGAAUCAGAUCUUUUACUUUGAAAAAAUUAGAGUGUUCAAAGCAGGCCCACGCAUUGAAUACAUUAGCAUGGAAUAAUGGAAUAGGACUUUGGUCUUAUUUUGUUGGUUUCUAAGGCCGAGGUAAUGAUUAAUAGGGAUAGUUGGGGGCGUUUAUAUUCCAUUGUCAGAGGUGAAAUUCUUGGAUUUAUGGAAGAUAAACUACUGCGAAGGCAUUUACCAAGGAUGUUUUCAUUA